This 462-nucleotide ribosomal RNA is filed under the name uncultured bacterium. RNAcentral describes it as "partial 16S ribosomal RNA". It matches the Rfam family "Bacterial small subunit ribosomal RNA", at positions 28 to 507 of the family's 1533-position model. The record is from RNAcentral.
GACGAACGCUGGCGGCGUGCUUAACACAUGCAAGUCGAGCGGUAAGGCCUUUCGGGGUACACGAGCGGCGAACGGGUGAGUAACACGUGGGUGAUCUGCCCUGCACUUCGGGAUAAGCCUGGGAAACUGGGUCUAAUACCGGAUAUGACCUCCUAUCGCAUGGUGGGUGGUGGAAAGAUUUAUCGGUGCAGGAUGGGCCCGCGGCCUAUCAGCUUGUUGGUGGGGUAAUGGCCUACCAAGGCGACGACGGGUAGCCGACCUGAGAGGAUGACCGGCCACACUGGGACUGAGACACGGCCCAGACUCCUACGGGAGGCAGCAGUGGGGAAUAUUGCACAAUGGGCGAAAGCCUGAUGCAGCGACGCCGCGUGAGGGAUGACGGCCUUCGGGUUGUAAACCUCUUUCAGCAGGGACGAAGCGCAAGUGACGGUACCUGCAGAAGAAGCACCGGCUAACUACGUG